RNAcentral lists this ribosomal RNA (481 nucleotides) under uncultured bacterium. Its description in RNAcentral is "partial 16S ribosomal RNA". It matches the Rfam family "Bacterial small subunit ribosomal RNA", at positions 28 to 507 of the family's 1533-position model. The record is from RNAcentral.
GAUGAACGCUGGCGGCGUGCUUAACACAUGCAAGUCGAACGAAGCACUUUAUUUGAUUUCCUUCGGGACUGAUUAUUUUGUGACUGAGUGGCGGACGGGUGAGUAACGCGUGGGUAACCUGCCUUGUACAGGGGGAUAACAGUUGGAAACGGCUGCUAAUACCGCAUAAGCGCACAGCAUCGCAUGAUGCAGUGUGAAAAACUCCGGUGGUAUAAGAUGGACCCGCGUUGGAUUAGCUAGUUGGUGAGGUAACGGCCCACCAAGGCGACGAUCCAUAGCCGACCUGAGAGGGUGACCGGCCACAUUGGGACUGAGACACGGCCCAAACUCCUACGGGAGGCAGCAGUGGGGAAUAUUGCACAAUGGGCGAAAGCCUGAUGCAGCGACGCCGCGUGAGCGAAGAAGUAUUUCGGUAUGUAAAGCUCUAUCAGCAGGGAAGAUAAUGACGGUACCUGACUAAGAAGCACCGGCCAAAUACGUG